RNAcentral lists this ribosomal RNA (249 nucleotides) under uncultured prokaryote. RNAcentral's name for it is "partial 16S ribosomal RNA". It matches the Rfam family "Bacterial small subunit ribosomal RNA", at positions 524 to 772 of the family's 1533-position model. The record is from RNAcentral.
UACAGAGGUGGCGAGCGUUGUUCGGAUUUACUGGGCGUAAAGGGAGCGUAGGCGGCAUUGUGUGUCGUAUGUGAAAUCCCCGGGCUCAACCUGGGAAGUGCAUGCGAAACUGCAGUGCUAGAGCAGAGGAGGGGAGAGCGGAAUUCAUGGUGUAGCGGUGAAAUGCGUUGAUAUCAUGAGGAACACCCGAGGCGAAGGCGGCUCUCUGGAAUCUUGCUGACGCUCAGGCGCGAAAGCCGGGGGAGCAAA